AUUGAACGCUGGCGGCAGGCCUAACACAUGCAAGUCGAGCGGAUGAAGGGAGCUUGCUCCUGGAUUCAGCGGCGGACGGGUGAGUAAUGACUAGGAAUCUGCCUGGUAGUGGGGGAUAACGUCCGGAAACGGGCGCUAAUACCGCAUACGUCCUGAGGGAGAAAGUGGGGGAUCUUCGGACCUCACGCUAUCAGAUGAGCCUAGGUCGGAUUAGCUAGUUGGUGGGGUAAAGGCCUACCAAGGCGACGAUGCGUAACUGGUCUGAGAGGAUGAUCAGUCACACUGGAACUGAGACACGGUCCAGACUCCUACGGGAGGCAGCAGUGGGGAAUAUUGGACAAUGGGCGAAAGCCUGAUCGAGCAAUGCCGCGUGUGUGAAGAAGGUCUUCGGAUUGUAAAGCACUGUUAGUUGGGAGGAAGAGCAGUAAGUUAAUAUCUUGCUGUUUUGACGUUACCAACAGAAUAAGCACCGGCUAACUUCGUG
This 484-nucleotide ribosomal RNA is filed under the name uncultured bacterium. Its description in RNAcentral is "partial 16S ribosomal RNA". It matches the Rfam family "Bacterial small subunit ribosomal RNA", at positions 30 to 507 of the family's 1533-position model. The record is from RNAcentral.